AUUCUGGCCCGUCUGCCUGCUCUGUCUUCAUGUAAUCGGCUAAUCUGCUUCACCUGUCUGCUGCUGCACUGGAGUGCAAUCAAUCAUGCCAUGCACCUGUUUUUCUGCAGUUAUAUUCAGCCCUCAGACAGGCAGACAGUGCCAGAUUUUAGAUUUUCAAAAACCUACCAGUUAGUAGAUGUCCAGCAUUCCUUCCUGCCUGACCACGUUUUUGACCACUUUUUGCAUCUUGGAUUUCCCUGCCUUGCCUGACCCUCAUUGGAUGUCUCUCGCCUCUGGAUCACAACCUUGUUUCUGCCUCUCGACCAAAGCCUCCUGCCUAACCCCUGGAUUUGUCUGCCUGAGUCUGCCUCCCUGGUUUUACCCAGUUACUACCCCCCCCCCCCUGACUACUGAGCCUUGGAUCUUUCCCCUUGUCGGCAAUCCGACUUCUGGCUGUGGCGUGUUCUGCACCGAUCCUGGAUUCUGGAGACUGCCAGGACCGCACCCCGCAAAGGAGCCUAUUCUGAUUCCUCCGUCCUACACGGACUCUGUUAAGUGAUCCCAGGUUCCCGGCUGGUGGAAUCCUGAGUAUCUGUGCGCUGCUCCUGAAUAAAUCGUUUAACUUUUAUUCUGUUUCUGGCUGAAAUUCUGGGUCCUCUGUCCUGAACCUCACAGAUGGUGGAGAAACCACAGGUGCACCACCCAUGUGAGAAAUUAAAACACACACACAGUCGAACACGCUCUGGCAGUGAUACACACAGGACAAAAUGGCAGCGGCUACAAAAACAAUACUUUUAUUGGACAUUGUCUCUGCUGACACAAGGUGGGUAUGUAACAUCCACUGCCUCAGUAGUUAACCUUUGUGACCUAUGUGAGUCAACGCCAAGGAUGUGAAAAGUAGAAGCCCACGGACUGAUUUAUGUGAUACAAUUACGUUGUUAGAUUGUGGAAGUUUGGAAACAGCACAUGGUCCAAACUGGUUUCCUGCAGCUAGUAGUGUCACUCUCUGGAGGAUGAAGACAACCAUCUUAAUGUGGCUUUUAACUUGCAAAGGGAGGAAG
Long non-coding RNA from Girardinichthys multiradiatus, 1043 nucleotides. RefSeq lists it as uncharacterized. The record is from RefSeq and is a predicted model, not a curated record. The transcript has 3 exons. NCBI's taxonomy places the organism in Eukaryota, Metazoa, Chordata, Actinopteri, Cyprinodontiformes, Goodeidae.